This 510-nucleotide ribosomal RNA is filed under the name uncultured bacterium. RNAcentral describes it as "partial 16S ribosomal RNA". It matches the Rfam family "Bacterial small subunit ribosomal RNA", at positions 28 to 507 of the family's 1533-position model. The record is from RNAcentral.
GACGAACGCUGGCGGCGUGCUUAACACAUGCAAGUCGAACGAAGAGCGAUGGAAGCUUGCUUCUAUCACUCUUAGUGGCGCACGGGUGAGUAACGCGUAAUCAACCUGCCCUUCAGAGGGGGACAACAGUUGGAAACGACUGCUAAUACCGCAUACGAUCUAACCUCGGCAUCGAGGAAAGAUGAAAGGUGGCCUCUAUGUAUAAGCUAUCACUGAAGGAGGGGAUUGCGUCUGAUUAGCUAGUUGGAGGGGUAACGGCCCACCAAGGCGAUGAUCAGUAGCCGGUCUGGGAGGAUGAACGGCCACAUUGGGACUGAGACACGGCCCAGACUCCUACGGGAGGCAGCAGUGGGGAAUCUUCCGCAAUGGACGAAAGUCUGACGGAGCAACGCCGCGUGAGGGAUGACGGCCUUCGGGUUGUAAAGCUCUGUUAAUCGGGACGAAAGGCCUUCUUGCGAAUAGUGAGAAGGAUUGACGGUACCGGAAUAGAAAGCCACGGCUAACUACGUG